GUCCUUUUCCUAGCUCAUCCCGGCUCAAAAAGCACCCCCACUGUGCACCUUGCGACCCCCACUGCUGCCCGCCAGAGAACAAACCCCCUUUGACUGUAAUUUUCCUUUACCUACCCAAAUCCUAUAAAACGGCUCCACCCCUAUCUCCCUUCACUGACUCUCUUUUCAGACUCAGCCCGUCUGCACCCAGGUGAAAUAAACAGCCAUGUUGCUCACACAAAGCCUGUUUGGUGGUCUCUUCACACGGACGCACAUGAAAUUUGGUGCUGUGACUCAGAUCGGGGGACCUCCCUUGGGAGAUCAAUCCCCUGUACUCCUGUUCUUUGCUCCAUGACAAAGAUCCACCUAUGACCUCAGGUCCUCAGACCGACCAGCCCAAGGAACAUCUCACCAAUUUUAAAUCAGGUGAAGUAUGAAGUUAUGAGGAGAAAGGAACAGAGGACAACCACACAGAGAAAGUGUAGCUUUAUCUACUAGAGCUGAAGACAUUCAGAUUUAUGAUCCAACAAUUCUACUCUGAAGUGCAGUGGUGUAUAUACUGCAACAAUGUGUACUCGUGUGCCCUGAGAACUAGAUAUGAAAAAACCUUACAGCAAUAUGCAUAAUAGUAAAAAAAAAAAACUGGAAACAACAAAAAUGUUCAUUGACCAUAUACAAUGAUAAAUGUGGUAUACUCGUAGAAUGGAAAACUACACAACAUUGAAAAUGAACAAACUAAAACUGUACACAGCAACAUGAAUGAAUUCCACAGAUAAUAUUGAGUGAAAGAUACCAGACACCAAAUAAUAUCCCAUAUGAUUUCAUUUAUAUUAAAUGUUUUUUUUUUUUUUUGAGAUGGAGUCUCGCUCUGUUGCCCAGGCUGGAGUGCAGUGGCACAAUCUUGGCUCAAUGCAACCUCUGCCUUUCAGGUUCAAGCUAUUCUCCCACUUCAGCCUCCCCAGUAGCUGGGACUACAGGUAUCUGCCACCACGCCCAACUAAGUUUUGUAUUUUCAGUAGAUAUGGGGGUUUCACCAUGUUGGCCAGGCUCGUCUUGAACUCCUGGCCUCAAGUGAUCUGCCCACCACGGCCUUCCAAAGUGCUGGGAUUACAGGUGUGAGCCACCGUGCCCGGCCUCAUUUAUAUUAAAUUUAACAUAGGCAGACUAAUCCAUUAUGCUAGAAGUCUGGAGAGUGGUUACUUUGAGGAAGAGAGGACUGAUUGAUCAGGCUUGAGGGGGUUCUAAAGUGGUGGCAGGGUUUGGUUUCUUGACCAAUAUUACGGAUAUUCAUUACGGAGCUCCUUAAACACUUUAAAUUUUACUUGUGUAAUGGGAUUAUGUCUACUUCAAGCGGUUAUUGUAAGGAUUAAACAACAAUGUAUGUAAAGUGCUGUGCAGUGUAUCAUGUAUAAUAAAUAUUCCAACAGCUGUAAUUGUCAUUGCUAUCAAUAUCACUGUUAAGCUGUAUAUAUAAUAAGUUUUGAAAACUUACAUAGUUAACCAUAUUCAAUCUCCAUUUUGUGUUAGACAGUUCUCAAACACUGAGGUGCUUUCCUGGAAACAGUCCUAUUGAAAGCAGCUGCUCCAUUAUUGUAAGGAUGUUGUUGAGGGUAUUGGUGUUAUAGCACAUUUGUUCUCUUGGGAAGGACCUACCGAAGAAAUAUCUUUCUGAUCUCUAUUUGAAAUUAAUUGUACUCUCCUGAGCAACAGACUUUGAUUAUUGUCCAAGUUUAAUAUUACACACAUUGUGAAUCCUGUAGGGAAAUGUAUCUUUCUUCUUGGCUUUCUAUUUGAAUACUGAAAAUCUUAGAAUCAAAUCUGUGCUCUAACUUUAUCAAAUGUAUAUAGACUUACACCGUGCAUUUUCUGGAUAAACUGCGUUUUCCUUA
Pan troglodytes (chimpanzee) is the source of this 1868-nucleotide long non-coding RNA. RefSeq lists it as uncharacterized. The transcript is spliced from 2 exons. NCBI's taxonomy places the organism in Eukaryota, Metazoa, Chordata, Mammalia, Primates, Hominidae. The record is from RefSeq and is a predicted model, not a curated record.